UCCGGCUUGUCACCGGCAGUUUCUCCAAAGUGCCCAGCAUUACCUGAUGGCAACUGGAGACGAGGGUUGCGCUCGUUGCGGGACUUAACCCAACAUCUCACGACACGAGCUGACGACAGCCAUGCACCACCUGUAUACCGACCUUGCGGGGGCUACAUCUCUGCAGCUUUCCGGUAUAUGUCAAACCUAGGUAAGGUUCUUCGCGUUGCAUCGAAUUAAUCCGCAUGCUCCGCCGCCUGUGCGGACCCCCGCCAAUUCCUUUGAGUUUCAACCUUGCGGUCGUACUUCCCAGGUGGUAAACUUAACGCUUUCGCUUGGACACUAACAGUAUAUCGCUAAUGUCGAGUUUACAUCGUUUAGGGCGUGGACUAC
This 372-nucleotide unclassified non-coding RNA is filed under the name uncultured bacterium. Its description in RNAcentral is "contains 16S-23S intergenic spacer region". The record is from RNAcentral.